This is a long non-coding RNA of Seriola aureovittata, 390 nucleotides long. RefSeq lists it as uncharacterized. The record is from RefSeq and is a predicted model, not a curated record. The transcript is spliced from 3 exons. Lineage: Eukaryota; Metazoa; Chordata; Actinopteri; Carangiformes; Carangidae.
CAUACCAUUUUUAGAACUUUAACUUCAAAUUGUGUGCAUGUGUAACUGAGCUGACAAUUGUGAAACUGCCUUAAAAACAUAUAUUUAAUGAUACAAACUUCUCCCAACAGUAGUUUUUUUUUAUCAGUAAUCUUGUUUGAGGGAUUGCAGGCUCUCUGCUCACCUCUCUCUUUUUUUCUGUUGUCUGCAUGGCCUUUCCUUCUGGCUCUUCCUCAGGCUGAAUCCUCUUGACUGUGUGAGCAGGUCACACAGAUGCUGCUGCUCAGUUUCUUGCAGAGCUGCACAGAAGCUGCUGAAGGCUCUGGGCCCUCGCUUUGAUUUAUCACGUGACCCCUUAUUGUUCCUGACUACCAGGUUGGGAUACACUCAUUUCAAGCAUUCAAGUUGAAG